UAGGGAAUCUUCCGCAAUGGACGCAAGUCUGACGGAGCAACGCCGCGUGCGUGAAGAAGGAUUUCGGUUCGUAAAACUCUGUUGUUAGAGAAGAACAGCGCAUAGAGUAACUGUUAUGCGUGUGACGGUAUCUAACCAGAAAGCCACGGCUAACUACGUGCCAGCAGCCGCGGUAAUACGUAGGUGGCAAGCGUUGUCCGGAUUUAUUGGGCGUAAAGCGAGCGCAGGCGGUCAAUUAAGUCUGAUGUGAAAGCCCCCGGCUCAACCGGGGAGGGUCAUUGGAAACUGGUUGACUUGAGUGCAGAAGAGGAGAGUGGAAUUCCAUGUGUAGCGGUGGAAUGCGUAGAUAUAUGGAGGAACACCAGUGGCGAAGGCGACUCGCUGGUCUGUAACUGACGCGGAGGCUCGAAAGCGUGGGUAGCAAACAGG
RNAcentral lists this ribosomal RNA (429 nucleotides) under Bacteroidota bacterium. Its description in RNAcentral is "Bacteroidetes bacterium partial 16S ribosomal RNA". It matches the Rfam family "Bacterial small subunit ribosomal RNA", at positions 355 to 776 of the family's 1533-position model. Lineage: Bacteria; Pseudomonadati; Bacteroidota. The record is from RNAcentral.